Long non-coding RNA from Neofelis nebulosa (Clouded leopard), 1197 nucleotides. RefSeq lists it as uncharacterized. The record is from RefSeq and is a predicted model, not a curated record. The transcript has 3 exons. Lineage: Eukaryota; Metazoa; Chordata; Mammalia; Carnivora; Felidae.
GGCUGGUGUCAGGCCUCCCACCCCCACCCUCCCUGGGGGGCUGCUCCAGCCGCCAAAGACUGGAGCUGUGGGUGGAUGAGGGUUGGAGGACUCGCCUGGCCCCGCCAUCCGCCAAGCUCAGGAGGAGUCUCGCAGACCCACAGUCCCCUCAGCGAGCUCCCCGCUCCAUCUUUCCCCCAUGCGGGGCACGGAGACAUGCUUUAUCCUCGGGCAAAUACCUCUCUAGGCCCCGUCUAGGCACUGGGGAUGCAGAGGCACGAGAUCCAGGCUGGCAAUCUCCAGCAAUUACAAGGGAGAGGCCUGGAAAGCGAGCUCAAGCCCAUUUUACAGCUGGAAAGGGGCCCGUGCAGGCCAAGUGACUCAAGGGGGUGGGGGGACUCCACCUGCUCCCAGCACGUCUCCAACCUUGAAGGUCCAGGUGCUGGGGUUGGGGCCCAGGGGACAGGGGACCACGUUAAACACAACCCUUGAGGAUGCAAUCCACAAACUCCAGACUGUGGGAAUCUCGACGGGACAAACCACCCAGUUUCUUCAACAAAUGCAUUUCAGGGGGAAAAAGUAACGGGAAAACCACAGAUUAAAAGAAAAGUAAGAGACAUCACCAAAUGCAACAUGUGGGUUUUGUUUAGUAGGGCAACUAUUAUAAAAAAAAACCAAAACAAAACCUAAGGGACCACUGAGAUUAUGUGAACCCUGUUGGAUACUUGAUGAUAUUCCGUAUCAUUUCCUGGGUGCGAUCACGGUAUUGCAGUUGCUAUUAGAGUAACACACUGGGAUUUUUACGGAUAGAACGACGUGCCCGGGACUUGCACAAGCCUUGUCCGCUGAGGGGGACGGUAGGACACGGGGGUGGUGAGCGGAAACAAGAGAGUCCCCGCACUGGAGUUAGAGCUGGGGAUGCGUUUAUGCACUUUCUCCAUUUUUGUGUCUGUUUGGAAUCUGCCAUCGUAAAAGUUAAAAAGAAAAAGGACAGAGUUUGAGACUCACCCUCAAUGCAUGCGCCUAGGCUCUCAGCAGCCAUCAAGGGAGGGCAACAGUCUUCAGACCCCAGGUCAUGGCAGUGACACAUGGCCAGCCCCGCCGUCUUCCAUGUUUAUCUAUCACUCGCCCCAGGCCCACAGGCGCUCCCAGCGUCCUUAACAUCAAAAGAGGCUGGGGGCCUCACUUUGGGGGCCACGGCAGUGGGCGGCUGGGAAA